Long non-coding RNA from Sapajus apella (tufted capuchin), 22711 nucleotides. RefSeq lists it as uncharacterized. The record is from RefSeq and is a predicted model, not a curated record. The transcript is spliced from 20 exons. Lineage: Eukaryota; Metazoa; Chordata; Mammalia; Primates; Cebidae.
CCUAGCCAACAUGGUGAAAUCCUGUCUCUACUAAAAAUACAAAUAUUAGCCAGGAGUGGUGGCUUAUGCCUGUAAUCCCAGCUACUUGGAGGGUUGAGGCGAGACAAUCACUUGCACCAGGGAGACUACAGUGAACUGAGAUGGCGCCACUGCACUCCAGCCUGGCAACAAGGGAAACUCCCUCUUAAAAAAAAAAAAAAAAAAACCUUAAUGGCUGAAAUCCAAAUUCCUUAGCAUGGCAUAAAAAUGUGAUCCUGUCAUCCCUCAAAAUAGUGUCCAAACUUCUUAGCAUACUAUGUACAUUUAAGUAUAUAACUCCUCUUUAUAAAACCUGCUAUCUGUAAAUGACCCAACUCCUCAGCAUGGAGCGCUGCCUGGGUGCCCUCAUACCCAGGGGACGGACGCCUCUGCUCAGAAGUGGUCUGAUGCUUAUUCAUUAUCUGGUUCAUCAAAUCCAGACACCUUAACUUAAAAUCUGUUUACAAUCCAAUAUCUCUGGAGACAAAACUCAUCAAUUUACUCCUUAAAACUCUUUACUGGCUAACAUCCAAAUGCCUCUGUGUAAGAAUUCAACAAUGAGCUCAUCCCCCACUCCAAAUAGAACACUUGAAUGCCUUCAGCUCUCACAUAAAAUCACAUCUCCUUAGCAUGUGAGAAAAAUCUGAUCAGAUCAUCUUUAUCAUAGAAAUCCUGUCUUUUAGCUAGCCAAAAUGCAGGUGUUGGAGCCUGUAACUUCUCAACUGAAAACUUCUCAAACUUUCUUCGUUGCCUGUAACAUAAAGUCCCAACUACUUAACACAAAAUGGAACAGUUUACCAUGUAAUUUUUCUUCAGGAGAGUCUAUUAAAAAUCCAAAAUCUCAUUCUGUUACUGCUUUAAGCCCUUUAUUGGCUUAAAUCCAAAGUUGUAAACAUGAUAUAAAAAUUUGAUCAUGUCAUCCCUUAAAAUAAAAUUCACACUUCCUAGGUCAAUUUAUAAAAUUUGAUCUUACAACUCCUCUUCAAAAUCUUAGUGUCUCUUAAUUGUAAAUGGAAGAAAAGUCAAAAUUCUUAGCAUAAAAUAUGAAUUUUAUUUUGUAAUUUACUGCAUAUUAUUUAUCAAAUGCAAAAAACUCACCAGGUCACUCUGUUAGAACUUUUUAUUGGCUAAAUCAAAUUCCUAGGCGUAUGCAAAAGUCUAAUCAUAUUGGAGCCUCAAAAUAAAUUCCAAACUUCUUUUCAUAUUUGCAAUAUUGAUCAUGUAACUCCUCUGGUUAAAAUCUUUCAGCUUUGGUGUCAACAUUAAUCUCAUCUCCUAGGCAAGCUCUGCAGGCUGAAAUUGGUAUUCCCACAAGACAGAAAGGCACAAUAUUUGCGCAUGAUUGUUAAAUUGGUGGCUGUGAUUUUUGUUUUACAAUUUCCAGUGUUUCUUUCUUGCUUGUAAUAUGAAUCCCAAAGCCAUUAUCCGUAAAAUAUAUUUUAUCAUGUUUUUUCUGCCCACUUAUCUUCUACAAGCAAAAAUCUCAUCAUCACAUUUCUUAAAACCCUUUGGCAAAAAUCCAGACUCCUUAGCAUGAUAUAAAACUUUGAUCCUGUCAUCUCUCAAAAUAAAGUCCAGAUUUCUUCCCAGGAAACUCAAAUUAUGAAACUCUCGCUUAAAAUCUCAACGUGUUUUCAUCACUACAAAAAGCCUCACCAUCUUAGCAAGGCACCCACUUUUAAUCAUGGCAGUCCCAGCUUCAAACCUGUCAAGUUCCAUGUCUACAACAUCAAAUCCAAAUGCCUGAGCAUGAAAUGAAAAGGGGAGCAAGUAUUUCUCACGUUGAAAAUCGUUAGAUUGCUCUUAUUAAACCAUAAAGCUUAAGUUCCUUUCGCACGAAACCAAAACUUUUUCACCAUCUACAGUUUCCAGCUCCCAUUUCCUGUUCCUCAUGCUUCCCUCUGAAAAGACUGAGUUUCCCAUUCUCCAGCCUCCAAAUGUGUUUCGAUUUUAUUGUUCCCGGAUGUUAAUUUAUUUCUUUUAACCAAGUCCCUCACACAGAAUUCAUCAAUUCAUACAGCAGCAUGUCCUGAUUGUUUUUCUGGGCCAGGCACAGUGUUGGAUCCCCAUGGAGGGAAAUGGAGGCAGACCCAUCUUGCAGAUCAUUACCUGGGAGGACAUGAGGCCCCGCCCUGGAGACGAAUACCCCACUGGAGGUGAGUGGGGGCCUUGGAAGCAGGGCGAGGGCUUCCCUCCACCCCUGCUGACCACUCGCCUCUCUGGGAGGUUCUGGGCAUUUUUGGGGCCUGUCAUCCCAGUUUUGGCUUUAGGUGGGCACUACGGGCAUCCCACCUGGCUCCAACUGCCCACCAGCUGGCCUGCCAAAGCCUUGGCCCUGCCUCUUCCCUGGACUUUGUGGAAAUCAUAUUCUCAGUCUUUCAAAUGUGACUCAAUUCAUGAUGUUCUCAAAUCUCAUGACAAUUUCUUUAAGAAAUGUCUACUGAUUUGGAAAUUCCCACCUUAUAUUAAAAAAAAGCCCAGAACUUAGCGCACCUGGUUUGGGGUCAGAACUGCCUUUGAGGUCUUCAAGUGGGACCCUCUUCCCCGCAGCACUCAGAGAUAGACGCCCCAGCCUCAGCACCUUCAGUGCCCAGCGCCUCGGUCGGGUCAGCUCCUUGCUUGCCUCUGAGCCAGUGGCCCAUUGGGUCAGGGCUGCCAACGUGUGUCUAUGAAGGGUUGGGUGUGGGGGGGGCAUGGGGGGGACAAAUCCCUCAGCGAAUACCUCUCUCUGUCAGCUCGCCUGUACAGUAAAGGAAAUCUGAUUUUAAAAAUAGAGCUUGGAAGAGGAGAUGAGAGGAUAUUUAGGAGCAGAGUUCAGCCUGGGGCGGGGGGCGGGGGUGGAAGAAUUAGGGGAGAGGUGAGGACAGGGGAGAAGGGUGGGAGGCCGGGGGGCUGUGGAGGAAGGUGAAGCUGGUGAGGAUCAGGGAGGCUAUGAGGAUGGAAUGGGAAACAGGGGAGAUGUGGGUUCUCUGGAAUGCUGGCCAUGGCCCCUUUCGUGGCCUCCAGAAAUGAGCCCAGUCACACCUGGGGCCCCGGCUGUGUGGGCUGCCAGGAUGGGUGUCAGGCAAAGACCCCUGUCCAUCUUGGCCUCCCUGUAGGUGAUGCUCAGAGCUCCUGGGGUUUGAGGGACAUAGCUAUGGGUCUUAGGGGUGAAGUGGCCUCAAAAUGAAUAUCCCCUGGCAACUUCCUCUGCUACCUGGCCUGCUGGGCGUAGCGUCAUAGUGAGGGUGGGCAGGCAAGGACCCUGGGAGGGUUUGUUUUUACUGAUUGAUUGUUGUUAUUUAUUGAUUUUGUUGAACUCAUGUCAAGGUUAAGAUGAGUCCAUGGCAACUUGGGAGCCUUCCUGUUCAUACCUGUUCCCUGGUAUGAACAAGUGUCAAGGACAGGUCAUUCCUCUGGUGCAGCUUGCUAGGUGGGUGUGGGUGAGGAGGAUGGAGAGAUUCUUGGAGGCUUCCUGAGGCCCUCAUGAGGAGCUUGGAUUGGGUCCUGGGGGUCCUAGUGGACUGUGGAGUCUGCAGGGGCAGCAGCCUGGCAUAGCUCAUGUUAGAGUCCCUACCCCCGGGACCCCUCAACCCUGCACACUCCUGACUUGUGGCUAAAGACGACAUGAGCCUUGCGGGGUGGGAGGCCAUUGGCAUCUCGGCCCAGGGCAGCCCAGACUCGGACACUCCCCCUCUACCACUAUGGUCUAAACUAACGUGCUUGAAUGCCAGGCCCCGUGGGCCUUGAACAUCAUUGCAGUGAUGGGGAAUUACAGUAGAACUAGGGUGUCCCCAGGGCGUCUCUAAAUCCCAAACCACCCAGCAGGGUGGGGUCUUCUGCAGAGGAACCCCCAGCCCCUCACCUUCCUAAGCCAUUGAGGUGACGGGCAGUGCCCGGGCCCCACAGUGCUCUUGUGCUGUGUCCCUGCCCCCUCCACGCUUGACUGGCAGCUCCAGGGGGCAGCUGGAUCACUCUGCCCAGAAUAACCCUGGGAAGGGGACCGUGCUGCCUGUGGGAGGGGCUGUGUGAGGGGUCACGGGUGAGCUUGUCCUUGUCUUGUCCAAAUCAGUGGGGCCAAUCAGCUGCUCCUUAGGCUGAUCUUGCCUUUCAAGGCAAGUGGACAGGGACAGGCUUGCACCAGCUUCCUAGUCUAGACAGGCACCGACUGUCAGUGUGAGCUUCCUCUCCCAGGUCCUCAGUUUCCCCAAGUCUGCAGGGAGGGUUUGGGCGGUGGUCUUCUCACUGUGCUCCUGUAGCUCUGGGGUUCCUAACAGGUGCCUGUGGGGGACUGCUGGGAAACAGUAACGAGGGGAGAUGGCUGGCCCAAUAGGUGGAGCUCAGGGACAUGCAUUCCUGCCUCAGUUCCACCAGCUGCUCCUCUAAAUUGGGGUCAUCGUAUUAUUUCAUUUAAACAGAGGCUGCCAUAUGUGAGCAAUGGUUGAAAACACAGACUGUGGUCUCUUCUAAUGCUUGUCUUGAUAGGGGUCUCAGAGUGGAACGUGCUCGUCUCGGUGGGCUCUCUGCUCUCCCGGUGGGCUGCAUGGACAAGCCAGGAGGCUGUGGGCCUAGGAGUUGGCUGUUCUUAGAGCAGGAAGGUGGAGACUGCAAGGCAAACAAGGAGGGCCCGGCCUUGGGGCCUGGUGGAAGCAGGAUGAUGAGAGCCUGGCUAACCUUACAGAGCCUCCUUUUCCCGACCUACAGAGAGGCAGGAGCACCUCCUUUCGAGGGAAGAUGGGCAUGUUAAGCCCUUUGUUAACUGUAAGUGCUGUAAGUCAGGGAUUGCUGCUGUCGUUAGGAUUCUUAUCAUUGCUUCCAGAACACCCACUGUAAUUGUAAUGGUCAAGAUUUGGACAGCAUUUCAUGCACGGUGUCAACUUUAGUCUUCCCAUUAACCCCACGAGGGGACGAUGCCCUGCUUUGAGAGUGAGCAAACCAGAGUCCAGGGGUGAAGCUGGACUGCCCUGGAGCCAUAAUGAUCAGCGAUAACGGUGCAUGGGCCCGGGCCAUGGGACCUUCCCCAGGAAGGGUAGGCUGGUGGCUGGAGUUGGUGAGGGUAUAUGCGGAGAUGGAAUGUGACCCAGAUGGGCUGAUUAGAUGUAUUUAUUAAAUACAUCCUAAUGAGUCUCUGAGUGUCUGCUCCGUGUCAGGCAUGGUUCUAGCCACUCACCCCUGAAACUGACUUUGCUCCUUGUGAGUUGGGGGAUGUGCUGCCGUCUUACAGAGUUAGCUGGGAUUUGGAGGGCAAGGUGCCGGCACAAGUCCCCAGAGAGACAGAGGCAGGGUUUAAAGCCAGGUUUCUCGUCUCUCCCCUAGUAGACGGUGAGGGCAGGCGCAGAUGCCCAGAGUGUGGUUGGCAGUUGCCCUCUGGGGACCUGUUGGGCCAGAGAUGCCAGCUUCAUCCCAUGGCAUUGAUACGGCCAGCCUUGUGGCCUGAGGGGUGUCCAUACCACAAGAGUGGGGGUCUCAGUGUCUGCCUCCAUCUCCCCCAGAGGUGCGUGCUGUCACUCCCAACUCAUUCUGGCUUAUUUGGUGUUGGAGGAGGGAGAGGACAGCUGGCCCAGGACCUUCUAAUUAUAGCUGUUGAAGUAUGCGAAUCGAGGCCUGGAGUGCCCAGCACCAUGUCGUGGUUUUUUCUUACAGACAAAUGAAUCCUUUAACCCUUCUCCUGAGCUCCAGCCCAUCCCGUUCACUGCCCCCACUCCCCCGCCCACCCGCCCGCUCUCUGGGGGAGGUCGACCUGGGACCUCCGCUCCAUGUCUUACCUUGGCUGCAGGCGCUCAAGUGGAUCUCCUCUGGUCCUGUGCGACUCGAACCUCACUGCUUUCUGAAAAGUGGUGUGAAGGGGAGACGGCUGCCUUCUCCUGGGAAGGGAGCAGAUGCCUGGCCCAGGACCAAAUCAAAAGCUGAGGCUCACUGCCCCCAGUGGGCAGUGGGUCGGGGUGUUCCUGAGGCCAGGUCGUGGCCCAGCCCUGCUGCCCCCAGGAUGGCCCCUGGCUUGGAGGGGUGUGGGGCCCCGUUAGUCUGACGUUGAAGAAGACCAGCCUUCCAGUCUCGCUUGGUGGCCUGCCAGAGCCCUGGGCACCCCAGUGUUGCCUGGAUCUGACUCUGCCUAAGUGAAAACUGCCUCGAAUUCUUUCUUGCACCGAUGGGCAGAUGGGCAAUGUCCGAGGAUCAUGUUGUCGGCCCUGUGGCGCGGGGUAAGGCUGCAGUGUUGUAAAGCUGCAAACAGCCUUCUGGGUGGGGUCAGGCUGGCAUCCCCCCACUGCCCCAGCCUGUUCCAUGCCAGGUUCCCCUGCCUGCUGUGUGCAGGGCCCCAGAACCCAGGGUUAUGGGGUGCAUGGGCAGGAGUUGCAUCUCAGUGUUGUGAGUUUUGAGGAUGACAUUUGGGCGUGAUUAUAGGUUGGAAAUGGCUGAUUGCCAUUAUGGCUUCUCCUUGCCAGGGGUCUGGACCCAAAACAGGAGAAGGACAUGUGACGACUGGAGUAGCGGUGAGGGGCUCUGGGGUAAGACAGGGCUGAGAGGGAGCGUGUGGACCUCUGGGACAGAGUUAUAUUCUAGAAAGAGCGCAGGCUCUGGGGGAGAGGGGCUAUGAGGCUAGGCAGCAUCCCCCUUGGGAGCUUGUCAGGAGUAGCAGGAGGCACUGGCAGUGUUCUGGGCUUUUCGUCCCUUUUUUUCCCUCCCAGGGGAGGGGAGACGAGGCACUGUAGGGAGCGAGCCACCCUGAGCACAGACCCAGCUACGAACAGACAUCGGGCUGCAUGUCCUUGGCAAAUCCCCAAGUGUUUCUGUGCCUUGGUUUCCUGAUAUUAAAAAAAAAAAAAAGACUCAUAAUCUCUCUCACACAGAGCUAUUGAGAUCUCAAUGAGGAAAUAACGCAAAUAAAUCAUCCAGCACAGCAGCCAACACACAGUACCCGGCAAAACUCGGUGGCUCUCCGCAUCUUACCCGUCACAAAAUGCUUAGCCCCUCCUGGAGACAGGCAGCCGCUCCCUUUCAGGGCAGGGAGACCCAACAGAGGAAAACAAAAACUCCAGAGAGAACGCGAGGGGGAAAUAAAAGCUGGCGCUUCACCCCCUCCCAGACACCUUCCCAGGGAAACAAACGUGUACCUUCCCCAACACCUGGGGGCCAGGGAAGGGGUGCCCCACCGCUUUUCAUCCGGCUUUCCAAAAAAGUUUGGGAAGAGUUUAUUUUUACGUAAAUAACGUAUAAAAAGUCAGAGUGCUCCUUGGGCAGAUUUUUUUGAGGCUCAUAUUUUAUAGACUUUGGCAAGGGUCGCUCAGAAGGAACAGUGGUUACAGUCUCCAGAGGUUCAUAAUUCCUGGAAGAACUUCUGGCUAAACCUGACUUCUCCUAAAUUUCACAGAAAAUUCUCCCUGGGCUGGGCUCAGCCUAAAUGAGCUUUUUGUGCGUUGGUCCAGCCGCACUAGUGGGUGUAUGACUUGCACAUUGCCUUUACACAAAAGUGAACCUCCUCGGCCACUGUGCACAAAGGCGCCACUCUCCGAAAUGUUUGCUUUAUUUACUUGGGAGCGUGAGCCUGGUUGGGCACGUCUGACACGGGGGAUAUUUCUCCGAGGCUCUAUGUAGGGCUGCCCAGCUCUCUGCAGUUUCUUCCUGCGCUUCAGGCAGAAACCCAUGUCCUAACUUCCUCCAGCACAGGGCAAGGGACCCAGAGCAAAAAAGGGGUAGGGACACUUGUCCUCUCCCUGGCCGGCAAGGGCUAAAGAGCUUGCUACCCCAUGGCGGUUGCCUCUAAAUAGGGAUUUGGGUGGGUGACUUUUCACAUCUAUGCCAAAGCCCUUCAGAACUGUUUCUGCACCACCAGCUAUCCUGAACCAGAAAUCCCUGUUCACAGAAUUUCCCAGGUGGGUGCCUCUCGUUCUGCACCCCUCCCCCAUUUAUGUAAACGUCACUCUCCCAAACAUUUUCACACCAGCAGCUUCAGAUCGCCCCUUUCAUAGGUUAAAACAGCAACACCAACAAGACCAACAUAAACGGAGGCUCUGAGAAACAGUUUUUCCUGAAGGGCUUGCAGUGCCCAACCGAGCUGCCAGGGCCGUCUGUCUGUCUGUUCCCGGGAAGGCAAACCAGCCUGCACGCUCCACCAGCAACGCGAUGCUGCCCCCCCACGGCGGGUCAGGGCAGCUGUGGCGACCCCAGGGCUGAUAGAUUGGGUUGUCAGGAGCGGGACAAUGAGGCGGCAGUGAGGAAGGGCUCUAUCCUUUAAUGGCUCUGCCCUCCUUGAAAUUUUUCUGCCCCACAGAGGUGCAUCUCUGCUCCUGGGGACCCUGGGCAUUUCACAGACAAGGAGCCCUGGCUGGCCUCACAGCCAUCCCCCAUAUGCUCUCACACACACGCACACACACAUGCUGAGUGCCUGUGCUGGGAACAAAGGCAAGAAAACUCCUUUAGAAACCGCAAAACAGAGGCUUCUCUAGCAGAAGUCCCCUGAUAAAGGCUCUGUCCACCCACAGUUCCUGGGAACCGAACCCCUGUGAAUGGGCCAGAAAAGGUGGCUCCUGACCACAGUGUGGGCUGCAUUCAUCAGCAGGCAGGCCCCCCAGCCCUGCUGCUGUGCGAGGAGCUUUCACGAGUCCCCAGAACAUCCAAGUCACAGUCUGGCAGCUGGCUGUCUCUGUGGCUGCUGCUCAUCCUCCAGAAUAGGGCCCCUGAAACUGCCAGACCCCCUCCCUCUACUCAUUCCAUCAGUCUGCCAGCCUGUUGUCCCAGAGGGGACACAGGCCAGCUCUGUGGGCCCAGGAGCCAGGGAAGGUGCUUGGCCACUCUAGGUGUCCUGGCCCUCGAGAGGGGAGUUGGCUGCAGGACAGUCCUCACCUCCCUCCACCAAGCCCUGGGCACUCACCCCCAUUCUCUGCUCCUCUCCCUCAUUGCCUCAAUGGGACAGAGGCACCCCGCCAACCAUCUCUGUGCCUUUGCCAUUUAGCCCAGGGCAGGCUACUUGGGAGAGGCUGUACAGCCUUGCACUGACCCCUACCUGGUCCCCUUUGGCCACCUCGCUCACUUGCCCACUCGCCUGCCCGGGAGUUGGUGCUGUGGGAGCUUCCUAAAGGCCUAAACAUGUGGGCUGCCAGCCCGGGCAGGAAGCCAUGCUGCAGCCUCCUCGGCCAUGCACCAGCCUGCCUGUCUCGGCUCGGAUGCCUCCUGUAACAGGGAGCUCCCUCUCCCUGCAAGCAGCCUGCUCAGGGCUGGCAUACGGAGCUGCUUUGCUGAGCCCUCCCCCGCCCUUUGUAUCUGCCUUCUCCUUGGCUGUGCGGCAGUCCCCUAGCCCCCUCUGCCCUCCGAUCUCUGCAGGCUGCAGGCUCCCUCUCUUUUCAGUCUUCUCCUUUCUGUGCUGAAUAGCACAGCCCCCACCAAUGGUGGAAACAGGUUUGGGGGCCUCUGGACCUCUGCUAACACCUCUGCCUCUGCCCCUCUAGACCUGGGACAGAGCCCUUUGCCCUGCCGUUCUGCAGGAAGCCCAGGGGAGGGCGUGGUGCUCCCCUCCUGUGGCCAGCUGCUCCGUGUCUAUCUGUUCAGCAGCUUCUGAGCCCUCUCGGGCUGUUUUAUGGCCCCUUUUCCAGUUGCCAGGGAGAACACUCUCUAUGCAGCCCCCUGCCUUUUCUGCAGGAGCUGCUGGACUCCUGGCUAGCCUGGUCAGCCCUGUAGCAGAAGCAGGAGCCGCAGCAGGCAGCCGCGGCAGGGCUGGGGUCCCCUGAGCCAGACAGACCGGCUCUCUAGCUGCAAGACAAUUCCCUUUACUUUUCAGAGUCUCGGCUUUUCCCCUGUGAAAUGGAGAUGAGAGUUUCCCCGUCACCGGCUUGAACUGAGGACUAAAUGAGAUAAGUGUAGCCUUGCACACAUCAGACACUUCAUCAGUGCUUGUGCAGUAGACGAUGGGACCCAGGGGGAGCGAGUUGGCUUGGUCAAGUCAGUGUUGAAAGGAUCUACUGCUCUUUCAAGGGGAUCUGGGGCUCUAGAAGGUAAGUAGGGGUUGAAAUUUAGGGGUUGAAUGUCUGCCUGGACCUUAAAUGAGAAACCCAAUCUCAGCAGAGCCCAGUGUUCUCACUGCAAAAUGGGGUAAGUUCAGCCUCAUGUCUAAUAUGUUAGAAACACUCAGCAAACAGUAGCUGCUAGAGUAAUUCUUUUUCCCAGAAAUCUUCAAAGGGGAGUUGGGCAGGGGGAGGCAGACAGGCAAAACACAGCUGGCUAUCGCCCAUAAAACAAAGGUCCUGGCAGCCCAGGCUCCCUGAGUGAUUAAAACAGCCCUCGCACCCAUCCCAAAAAGGGCAGCCUACAGUCGGGGGUCUGGUUCGCUUGGACCUCCUGGCUCACCGUUCAGCUGCCUGACCUCAGCGGUUGUGACCUGGGACCAACAGGGGACCCCGGCAGGUGCCUAUCCACUAGAUGGCACUCUCUGCUCUGAGUCCGGGGGGACCACCACCCCAAACCAGUUUGGCCAGUGCCCAGCCCAGGGUGCCGCCGGAGAAAGCACGCCACUAAAACAUCGCAGAUAAUUUCUAAAAAGCACUUCUCAACAUGUCAUGCAAGAUGCGGUGGCUUUUUUUCCUUGCAUAAAUCCCAACCAGACUGCAGAAACAGAGGGAAUGAACAUUUAGUGACUUUGCUGAGGCCAGACACGGGUAUGUCUCUACUCUCUUUAAAUCCUGACCUUGGCAACAUCUGAUUUCCCUUGAUUUUACAGACUAGAGGACUUUGAGGUUAGUAACUUGCCCAAAGUCGGCUGGGAAGCAAGACCCAGGAUUCCAACUUAGGUCUGUGUGAUUCCUCUGCAAAAUGGAGAGGUGGAAGGAUGGAUGUGAGGUCUUUGGCGGGAUGGAUGGCUGCAUCAAGAUGCACGCAUAGCUGGAGAGAUGGCUGGCUACCUGAUGAAAGCUGGACUGUUGUAAGAAUCAAACGAGAUAAUGUAUGCUGAGGCAUGCUGUGAACACUACGUGCUGGGUACAGGAGGUACAAUAUUAACGAUCCUUGCUGCGUGGAGGGAACCUGAACUUAAAGUGUGAUGCUUUUCAUUUUCACACCACUUGGGAGGGAGGAAAGGCUGGUGGGAGGAUUGCCACCUGAGGCUCAGGGAGGGGACAGGCCUUCCCCAAGGGACCCCACAGUAUGAAGAAGGCAGAAGCCAGUCCCCACACCGGUGGUCUUCCCACGACUCCCUUAUGAAAGUCCCCCAAUGGACGGAUUGAUGUAUAUAUGACAAUAUCCACGUAGACCAUAACUCUAUAUAAUAUACAGAAUUAUUUUUAGGUCCCUGAGUCGCUCUGAGAACAGUUGUGCCAGGUGAUGCCUGCCCAGGACAGGCCGGGAGGGUAGGAAGGAAACUGGCUGUGUAUGGGUGGUGAGGCCCAUAGUGAAGCCUCCUUUGGUUUCUUGGAAUCAAGUUGGACAUCAAGAAUCUCAUGGCAUAGACUUCCCCAAGGGCAGUCCCAUUUCACAAAAUGAAUUUUCAUUUUCCAAAGCUCAUCCCUUAGUUGGAUUUCUGUUUUUCAGGGCAUUUGUUUAAGCUCUGAUGGCAUGUCCAAAAAAGAACAGACCCCAACAAUUUCCUGCCCGAGUCCCAUCCUUCCCCCAAACCCUUGGCUUGACCUGAGCAUUGAGCUAAUUCAUUUCUUUGAUCAAACUGGGGACUGUCUGAGCAGUGGGGUGGGCAGCAUGGGACAGGGAUAGGGUGGGUGUGUACAGGUGUGCAAGGCGGGCUACUUGAGGGGCGGGCGAUAGUUCAGGUCACCCUCCGGCUGGACCCACGAGGGCGCCGCGUUCCUCAUUCUACAAAUCGUACAAGUCGGGGCACAAGACAGAGAAGCCAGGUCACGUCUCUGCAGUUACACAGCUCACGAGUGCCUGCUGGGGUGGAACCUGGUCUGUCUGUCUGUCUAACACCAGAGCUGCUGCAGAGGGAGCCAAGAUUUGGGUGAGGGAGGGGCUCAGAGGUGGGGCGGAGGAUUUUUUUUUUUUUAACCUGGUUGCCAUUGGUGUGCAAAUAAUAACGUAACUCUGCUUGGGGACUAGUGCUGUGACUAUCUUGCUGAGGGCAAAACAGGCACAGAGAGGUUCGUUUGCUUUCCUGAUGUUGCCCAGCUAGUGGGGGGUUGAGGCUGGAUUUGGGAGGUGGGCACUGACGUGUUAGCAUAUGUGCUGCAACCACUGGGCUCACUGGCUCGUGACAUGAGCAUAGGGGUCGAAGUCUCAGCCAUCUGGAUUUGAGGGCUUUUACCAACUCCCCAGUGGUGGGUGUGCUCUGAGCUCAAGCUUGUAUAUUUCACACUCUCCCUUGACCCUUCUUUUUAGCCUUCAGUUGAAAAAUCCUGCAAGCCACUGAUCCACAGAAAAUAUUUAAGAAUACAUAUAUUACAUAUAUCUUGUAAAUUUAUUUACAUAUAUAUAAACAUAUAUUUGGAAAGGGAUUGUAUCCAGGAGAUUUGGGAGUGAUUGUUUAAGGUAGAGGGAGGCAGGGGCAUGAGAUGGGGAGGGAUGGAGGUGGGAACCAUCAGUGGUAAUUGUCAAGGGUGGUUUUUUUUUUACGUUUAAAGAUGUUUAUUAAAGUGUUAUUUUUUUUUUAAUUUAUUUAUUUUACUUUAAGGGUGGUUUUAACAAUCAAUACACUAAGAGAGAGGCAUGCUGGCAGCAAGGACAGGAGUGGGUCGUAAACCAGGGAUGGUGAUUAAUUCUCCACAACCGAGGGACAUUAAAAAAAGAGAUCAGAGUGGUUUGUGGCUAUUAAUUUUGUUAUUAAAAAUAAUCAAGGAAUAAAGAAAUAAGGUAAUAAAGGCCCCAAAUGGAACAAUUCUGAGAAUGUGUUCUGGGCAAAGGAUUAUACCUAAUCCAGGUCUGGUAACCUGACAUUAACAAGCAGAAAAGGCCUCGUAGGCUAUUUUCUUUCUUUUAAUGGGCUUUGUGUUCCAUAGAAUGGGCACACUGGGGUUUCUCUGCCAAAGAAGGUGACUGCGGACAAAUAAAAUCCGGCUUCAUGGGCGUUGAUUGAACAGUUAAAAAUGAAUGAAUGCAUUAACAAAAUUAGAGACAGGCAAGCAUGGACCAGUGAUGGCAAUGUGUUACCCACUCCCCAGCUUUAUAAAGAGAUCAUUGAUGAACAAGUAUUGUAUGUAUUUGUAAAGUUGGACAGUGCGACAUUUUGAUACGCACAUAUAUUGUGAAAUGAUUACCGUAAUCAAGCGAAUUAACGUAUCCAUCACCUCAUGUAGUUCCCUUUUUCUGUGUGUGCAGUGAGAAUACUUAAGGUCUGGUAAACACCUUUCUAUUCUCUGCCUCUGUGAGGUUAUUAUAAAAGAAAACCCAGGUUCCAGGCUGUUGAGGCUGUGGGUGGGAAGUGUAUGAACAACUAUACAGAAGAGUCAUUGGUCUUGGGCUGAAUGGUGACUUGAAGGGUAGUGGCUGCAUAGUUAAAAAUGACUUACAUGAGUACAGAAGUGUCGAGUACCAAGAAUGGACCACAAAGACAGCGUUUUAUGACCUAAAGACUAAGAUUUAUCCAUUUAUGUACAAUUGUGGACGAUUUAAAAUAAAACAAGACUUUUACCUCAGUGGAUGGUGGUAUUUGGAUGUACUAAUCAAUAUUUUUGUUCUAGAUCAGUGGUGGGUUCAUCUGUGUUUGUUGUAUUUAAAAAAAUCCAGGAAAACGUUGAAAAGGGUGAGUAGGAGUUGAAGAUGAUUGUUACUCCAAGUCCGCAUUAUCUGCGUCCGUUAGGAAGAAUAUCUGGGUUGGUCCCUUCUUGGGUAAGAUGCAGAGGGACGUUUGUUUGUGAUAGUCAUGAUUCUUGUUUUUGAUUAGAAUGGUAAAUACACUCAUUGUAAUAAUAGAUGAAUGAUUACAUACAACGAGAGGUACGCUUGGACCAGUGGUGAGACUGUCAUGAAGCAAAGAUUAUAAUUAAUCCUGUGCUUCUCACCUGACGGCCAUUAAAAAAUAUCUAGGUUUUAAAAUUCUUUUCAAUAUCAGCCUUGUGUUCCACAGAAUGGAGGCUCCAGAGUGAAAUUAAUGAUACUUUGUCAAUGAAGGUCUUGAUUGUGAACUCUAUGAGAAACAAGCCAUGAGCCAACCAAUGUAAGUAAUGUUUAGUGUUGGUGUUUUGAAGUUGGGCGGUUGGUUGGUGGUUGUUGAUUGCAUUAUUAAACGUGAAUGGACACACAAAUGAAGGCAAAGAUGACCGGUGUGAUGAGAAUGUCAUGAACCAAGGGUGAUUAAUUUCAUUUAGUGUAACUGUCAUCAAAUAAAAAUAAUAUUACUGAACUGUCCUCUGUAACAAAUUAGCAAAGAAAAGGAACACACACACACACACGUACGUAUCCUACAUAUAUAUCACACAUGUUAUGUUUAUACAUGUAUCCUAUAUAUAUAUCACCUAUGUAAUAUGUGUUAUGUUUAUUUUUCAUAUUUUCAGGCUGGGGUGGGUUUAUAUGUGUCUAUGAGGUAAUUAAACAUAAAUAGGUGCAUGUAUAAAGAAGAUCAAGAGAGUCAAGCAUGAACUAUUGAAGACAAUGUACCCUGACCUAAGAUUUAUGAUUACACAGCUCUACAAAUUUGCAAGACAUUAAAACACAAAUAUUUAUGCUGUUUCAUUCAUUUCAGCAGCAUUCUGCUGUUAAUUUAUGCGCUACAUUUUUGCAUCAACGCUUCCCUAAUGAAGAAGUUUGGGGUGUUAAGUCAGUGGCAGAGGGCCACAUAAUGAAGUGAGGUCUUGGUAGUUUUCUGCUGGUUGACUAGAAUUCGUCAGUGUUCUUUCAUGAUUUUUGUUUAAAGGGAUAAGUAAAAUUUAAAAGGGCCAAGCAUAGAUAAUGAGGAUGAUAUUUCAUAGACAGUGAGGCUUAUUAAUUAAAUUCUACACAAAUAAAGGCCAUUAAAAAUGAUCCAGGGUGUUCAUUUUUCUAAUAGUUGCUGUCUGUUGCACAGAAUGGACAAAUCAUAGUUUAUGUAGUCAUGAAAUAUUUAUGAGAAAUUGACUCUUACUUGGGUAGAUAAGGUACUUAAGGAAAAUGUAAUUAAUAGUUGAUGUUCUUAAAUCUUGUCUGGAGAGUUAUUCAAGGGUGUUCAUAAAUAAGCAAAUGAAUGAAUGAACAAACACACGAAUAAAACAAGAGAGGGCAAACAUAGGACAAAGGUGAUCGUAUCUCAUUGUAGUAAAUUCUUUUUAUUGUAUGUAGCUUAAGCAUCCAUUUUGAACCCAAGUUUAACUUUCUAAUUCCAGAAGCAGGUUUACUCACCCUUGACACAAUUUGCAGUUCUUCACAUCCUCCCAGUUCUUAACGUGACAGAUCCAGAUAUAACUACCUUGUACAGCCGCUUCCAGGACACUGCCUCCCUAACGAACCGCCAGACGCAGCCCACUUGACUUUCCUCACUGACCCCACAGCCUGUGUGGACCACACAGAUAUAGUGGCUUGCUCUGAACUCACCAGUGAGAACUCUGAAGGAAGCCUGCUUGGGAGAUGCCCUAGACCACAGUACAGGCUUUCCCCUUCCUGGUGGCCGUGUGAGGCAUGCAGGAUCUAAUGAGUGCACUGCAGGUGAUCUGCUGUUAUGUAAUGAUGAGGACUGGGCUCCUUUCUCUGUGGGCAAGGAGCAUGGAGGCCAAUGAAAGGAUAAGUCUACUUUACUUCCACAUAACAACCACAGGAUAGAUGAAAUUCAUUUUCUAAGAAACAAAAUCUUGGCAGUUAGAUCCAUGGGGUAAAGAAUAUAGAUACUAAUGUAAGUAACACCUCAAGUUCAUAUCCUUGGUUUGAAUGCUUUGCUCAAUAGUGUUUAGUGGUAUUUCAAAGGAAUCAAUGUCUAUAACAGCAAUUAAAAUCACCAGGAAUGGACCAAAUGUGUUCCGAAAAUGUGUUUAAUAUAAUUUGGCACAACUGAAGUGAUAAGAAAUAUAGUAGUUAGACCAUUUAUAUUCACAACUAUUUAACAUUGUAUCUUAUUUUCUACCACAAAUGAUUUAAUCUUUUCCAUAUUGGUAUGAUCCCGGCUGAUAACUCUUUGUGUGGCAGCCUGAGAGAAUAUGGAAGACAUUGUCAGUGUUGGAAGAUGGUGGUUUUAUAGCUUUUCAUUGCACUAUCUUUAAAACAUGGGCAAAUUGAAUAAAAGAAGACUACAGAAGAAAUAAUGAGUGAAUAUAAGCCAGUUGAUUCAAUCAUUUAAAAAAGAAUUGUUAUCCUGAGUAAGGAGCAUAGAGACAAAUAUAAGUAAGUUCCUUGUUUCAUGUUCUUCCUUUGAAUGGUUCGUUCUUGAGUGUUAGCUAAAGGAUUUCAAAGAAAUCAAUGUCUACAUACGUAAAAUAAAUAGAACACCCCAAAUGGACCAGUGAUGGGAAUGUGUAAUGAACCAUGGAUUAUGUUUAAUCUAAAUUGUGACAACUGAAGUGAUUAUAAAAGAAGACAAAAGUUAAUGUAUUCUCAGAGCAGCUCAACAUUAUCCUUUAUUUUAUGCCAUGGUUAUUUUACCCCUUAUGGGUACAGAUCCUGCCGACAUCUGUUUUGGGGCAGUCCAUAAGAAUAUGUAAUAUGGCAAUUUCAUUGUUUUUCAUCUAUUUUUUGGCAAUAGAUGAAUUAAAUAGAAGUGGGCUAUAUAAAAAUGAAUGCUAAAUGUGAAUUGGUAGCAUUCAGGGGUGUUGAUCAAUUCACAUGUACACUUUUAAGUGUCAUUGUCUAAGAAAUGUAGUCUGUAGUUCUAUGGGCCAAGAGCCUAAAAUUUAAUGAUCCUGUUUUGGGGAUUUUUGAUUGCAUCAUUAUUUGUGAGUCAAUCGGUUAAUCAAUAGAUGAAAAAAAUGCACAUCGUGGACCAGUGAUGAAUGUCAUGGGGUUUCUGAAACAACAAUUUUGAUUAAACCCAUCUGCAACUCUGAGGUCCAUUACAAAAAGUCACCUCUUUAUUCUUCAUGGGAAAUGAGUCUACAGAACCUUGUUCAUGGGCCUUUGUGGUUUGAGGGUACGAAUUACAUUAUUAUAAUGCGUGAAUACAGAAUUUUAUCAAUGAAUGAAGAAUAAGAAAGGUAUGCAUGCACUUAUCUCUUAGGGCAUGUAAUGCAACAUGGAUUAUUAUUAAAACAAUUUUGAGAUUCUUAGUCCCAGUAAAUUAAUAGUUAAGGCCCUUAUCACUUUGGUAAGGAGCAUAUGGUCAUCUGUGCACGAGACUGAAUGUUUUUGUUCUGUGUUGAGGCAGGUUGCCGACUGCUCAUUUUAUUAAGGGAAAGGAAAUACAUUUACAUAAAUAAAUAAUUGAUUGAGUAACUGUAUAAUUGAGAGAGGGCAAGCGUGGAACAGUGAUGAGAUCUGCAUACAAACACACUCAUGAUUAAUUCAAUCUUUUAUGGAAUUUUACUUGAGUAAACAAACAUUAAACAAGUUUGGUACUAGAUUCACUAGUGAUUAUUAUAUUACCUAAAACACAAAAAUUCAUGGUGAGAGAUACUUCAUCUUGACAAAAGCAAUUUAUGGAAGAUAAUAAAUAGAAAGAAGUGCUCUCUCUUCUCAAGUGUUCAGAAUAGGCACAAAACAAGGCUGAUGGCUGUUUACUACGCAACUGUCAUUGAUUUUAAAGAGCUAAACAUAGAGUCUUUGAUUCUUUUUAAAAUUUGCUUUUUAUACUGCAGAAUGAACGCACUCUACCUGAUUUAAUUAUAGUCUUCUGGUGAAGAUCUUGCCUUUUAUCUCUGUGAAUCAGGAGAGAAGAGAUUGAUAAUGAGUAGAGCAGACUGGAUUUGGUCAUUUCCCCAAGGUGAAGCACAUGGCGUUUUCUUCUGUGGAAUGAAGACUGUGGCUGAUUUAAUCAGUCUCUGUUGAUGAAGAUCUUGGCUGUUACCUUUUUGGAAUGGAUGUGCAAUGAUUCCAUUAUUCUCCAGCGAGAAGAUCCUGGUUGUUGUCUGUUUGAGUAAUGAAUGAGUGUAGAAACCUAUGUAAGUAACAAAGUGAUUGCUUUUGCUUUAGUGGUUAUCAUGAGAGUUAACUCUUGCUGGAAAGGAAUAAAUGGCUAUGUAUACCGUUAAAUGAAUGACGUUUGUGUGUGAAUGAUUCAGCACAUCUAUGGUCAGUGAAGGAGAAAAAUGCAGGACCAUCUUUUUCAUUUUUAAUAGUUAAUUAUUCGGUUAAUGUAAAAAUUAAUUAUUCAGUUUUAUUUGAGUCGCAGUUGAUCUUAAGCUCCCUCUAUAAAGACAGCUUAGUCACAUUCCAAGAUGGAGGACACUGUCAGUGUGGAGUAAAAUGGCAGGUUCAUAGUUGUUUAUUGUCACGUCCUUAAAAUAUGGACAAUGUCAAUGAAAGAUGAUGAAGCCUUGACCAGUUAAGAGUAUGGGGUUAAUAUGAAGCAGGUAUGGUCAUUUUAAAGUGAACUUAAAUUGUUAUCUAUGUGAGAGGGGCAUAGAGACAGCUAUUCAUUAGAGACAUAGCUCUUUCCUUGUAUUUAGGAAUGAGGUUUAUCGUACUGCUAGUCUACUAAAAGUUAACUUUGAGAGCUAGCCAUAGGGCAAUCAUAAGCGAGUGAUAAAACUCUGUUACCUAUCAAAAAUUUCAAUUAAUCCAGUAACACAUGACACCAAUAAACAGAAGGAAAAAUCACAGGGCUUUUAUUUUUUCUAACAUUUGUUUUGUACUUCCCAGAAUGGAGGCAUGAUGGGUGAUCCAAUCAUCUUCCACCGAUGAUGGUUUGAUGGCUGCCUGUGUGAGUAUGGGGAACACAUGCUGCUGUUAGUGAUUGUGUUAAGUUCUUGUCUAAUAUCAAGGAUUUUGUUAGUAAAUUUUGAUUUUAUUAUAUAAACAAGUAGAAAAGAAGAUUGAAGCAUUGCUCAACUAUGAAUAAAUGUGAUCAGGCAAGAAACUCUACUAAUAGAAAACACUAAAGUCUCAAGAAAUCAGUGGAUCAACCAUGUUACUUCUUUGUUUAAGUGUCUUAAGACACUGCGUGUAAGAAAUAGUCAAUCUUAUUGACUGGUCUGCUUUGUACUCCUCAGAAUGAACAGCCCCAUCGGAUGUAAGCACUGUGCUGUGACCAUGAACUCUACGUUACCUCUGUGUGUCACAGGAAGACUCUUAACGAAUGCUCCCAAGUUGACUUAAGCUGUGUUCCAUGGUCGCCAGGUUUCUGGCUGCCUCUGUGUGUUAGAAGCUUGGAGACCAAUGUGAGUAUAGUCAAAGUUCUUACCCUGGUUCUAGGGUUUUUAAAGGGUAUUCAUUGUUUUACUAAAAGCAUUACAGAUAAUCCAAAAGGUUAACUGUGGUCCAGUGAUAAAUCUGGCAUUGCCAUGAAACAUGUUGAUUAUCUAAUAUUUACAAAAUUAAAAAUGGUUAAUGAUGAAAUCACUGUGACAGAUGAUCCUGUAGCUAGCUAUAAAGUAUUUCUUGUUCUUAAGUUUUUGUAACAUUAUUUAAUUAUUAUAUUAUGUGUUUGAAGCUCAGUGGUCCCACACAGGGAUAAUCUAGUUCACUGGUUCUAUUGGACAUGAUUCUGUAGAUAAAUGGCACAUAUAUGUAAGGAGCAUAGUCUUGAUCUUUGUGUUCACAGGUUUUGAUUCUAUCGUUAUAACUGGGUAUAUUAAAAUUAUAAAAAUAAUCAACAAGCAAAUAUAAAUAAAUACAGCUAGGCGAAGCAUCAUCCAAUUAUUAAAAUAUGUUAUGAGGCAAUAAAACCUAUUAAUAUAUAUUAGAAGAUAAUAGAUUAAGCACGACAUGGUUUAAAAAUAUAACUUAUUUGACUAAUAAUUAUGUAGUCAGUGCAAAUAAUAAGUGCUAUUACUAUAGAUCAUUGGAAUAGUCAAUAAACAAGUACAAGUAAAUCAAUACAAGUAAAAUAUUACCUAAUUACACAUAUUAAUAAAUACCUAAAUGAUCCAGUAAAUAAAUAAAAUGUGGAAAGUGAGAUCAAUGCAGAUAAUGUCUCUAUAUUAAAAAUCACCUUUUUUGCUUUGUACUCGCCGGAAUGGGUGCAUUUGAAAUGAUUACGUUUGCCCUGUGUGUUUGGUCCACUGAAACCAAUGUGAGUAAUAAUGGUUAAAGUCUCAUCUUGGUUGAAUAUGCCAUUUUUAAGGGUAUUCACUCCAUAUUUAAAAAGUGUGAAACGUCAUCACUGAAAGCCAUGCGUGGCAAGAUGGUAUACAUUGAACUAUUAUGCACUGCAAUCUUAUAUUAACUAAGCCAUAUAUGAAAUGUUGAGAAUGAUCAGUGAAACCGUGUGGAUGUGGCAAAUUAGAAGACAGAUGUAGGAUAUUUAAGCAUCUUGGCCUUGAGUUUGUGAUUCAAGAGUAUUUGUUUUAUUAUUGUCAGAGAGUAAAUGAAUUGGUCCGUAACAAAAGCAGAUAAGAAUGAAGAGAGAGAGUACCAAACCCGGACCAAUGAUGAUGACUGGUGGCGUAUGAGUCCUGGAUGAUGAAUAAUACGUGUCUGGAAGUCUGAGGUCUGGCAAUAAGAAGCCUAGCUCAUUGCCAUUAUUGGGAGUGAUGCUGUGGACAGAUGUUAGGGAUAAAAAAAAAUCAUGGUCUUGGCCUGGUGUUCAUAGAUUUUGAUUUUAUUAUUAUAAACAAACAUAAAUAAAUAUGAAUAAGUGAAGUACUGUUCAAUUACAAAAAUUCUAUGAAUAGAUAAAAGAACUACUCAUAUAUAUUGAAAACAAUGGGGUCUAUUAUGAAAUAACAGUCAAUAUACAGAGAGCGUUCUUGAUUUGUGUCAGUGGCAAGAUCAAUGUUGUUAGUUUUCUAAAAAUAACUAAUAAAUGUUAACUCAAAAUUAUAAAUACCUAAAUGACUGGCUGAAUGAAACGUGAUAUGCAUAGAUCAAGGAAAACUAUGUCUCCAUUUUUAUUUUCUUUAUCUGCCCUGCUUUGUACUUCUCAGAACGGGCAGACCCACGUCUUCUGCUGUGAUCGCCCUCUGUGGUGGCCUCCGGGUGGGAGCCCGGACACUAAUGGAGGUUGGCCCUGGAGCUGAUUUAAGGAUUCUUUGGUAGUCACAGAUAUAUAGUUGCCUCUGUAUGAAAACCAAUCUUCUCAGAGUGGGCACACCAGAACAUGCGUAAGCAUCCUGCCAUGUUCACGAGCUCCAUGGUUGCCUCUACGUGUGUGAGCCUGUGUGUGAGCCUCAGUCCUCUGUGAGUAGUCAGAGUUCUUGUCUUGGUUUCGGUGGUUUGUUUAGGGUGUUCACUGUAAUAUUUUUUAAAAAUUAAAUAUAUUCAAAAAGAGUUAUCCAUGGCCUAAUGACCAAUGUGGAAUUGAUAUGAACCAUUAUGUCGACUAAUUUACAACAACAAGGAUGAUCAAUGAAAGAGCUAUAUAUUCAGUGCAGUAAGUGAGUCCAUAUAGUUGUUAGGGAUACUUGAAGAUCUUGUUCUUGAGUUUUUGAUUCAUAGAUAUUUAUUGUUUUAUUUUAGUGAAUUAAUAAAUUGAUCAGUAACCGCAUGUCUAUAAGAAUGAAGAAAAAGAGUCCUAGGUCUGAACCAAUAUUCUAGGUGAAUUAAUGAGUUAAUCAGUAUGUAAUAUAGAAAUGAAUGAGGAGAAAGUGGUCCUUCCUGGACCAGUGCUGACAACUGCCAGCAUAUGUGUCUUCCAUGAUGAAUGAUGCAUGUCUGAAACUCUGAGGUCUGAACCAAAAGGAAUCUAGUCCAUCCCUCUGUUUAGAUGAUUCUAUAGACAGAUGUCAGGAGAACAAUAUGGCCUAUUCUUGUCUUUAUGUUUAUUAAUUUUUAAAAAUAUUUUAAUUAAAGUAGCAAUGGCAGAGUCAAUAAACAUGUAUAAAUAAAUAAAGAUGACACAUAAAUUACUGUUUGAUGUUAAAAUGUAUAAGAACAAAUAAUACUAAUAUAAACUGAAAUCGAUAAUAAGUAGAUCAGCAUAUUACAUCUUUCACGAAAGACCAUAUAGACAGUGAUAAGUAAUAGUUAUUGCUCUAAAUCAGUUGCAAGUUUAACAUUUGUUGUAUUAAGAGAAAAAUUAAUAAAUAUCACCGUAAAUUAAUACAUAUCUAAGUAACUAUGCAAAUGAACAGUGGAAAGUAUGGACCAAUGGAGAGAACGUCUUAAUGUUUUUAUCAUCUCUGCCUUGCACUCCUCAGAAUGGAUGCGCUGAGCUGACUUAAGCAUUCUUCCUUAGUCACGAUUAAGUGUCCUCCAUAUGAAAGAGACCAGUGAUGGACGCUCCUGAGCUGGUAGAACGUCUGGCCUUGGUCUGGAGCCACAUGUCUGCUCCUUUGUAGAGGUGUACAUGGGCAAUAAUGGAUGCAGUGAGCUGAUCAUUUUGCUGUGAUCAAGGCUGUGUUGCCUCUAUGUUAGGCCAACAAUGGACGUGCCUUCACUGACCUACGUGUUUGCAAGUUCCAUGGCUGCCGCAGUGUUUGGAGCAUGGAGACCGAUGGAUGUACUGGCACUGAUUUAAGGAUUCUUUCAUAGUCACAAGGUGUAUGGUUGCCCCUGGGUAGGUGCAUGGGGACCAGUUGAGUUGAUGAAUUAAUCUAUCAAUAAGUGAAGAUAUGAAUAAAGAAAAAGAGCCCUAAGUCUGGACCAAAGAUGAAGUUUGGUGAUGUAUAAAUUAUGGACAAUAAACACCUGUGCCUGGAACUUUGAGGUCUAACAUGAAAACUAGUUUACUGCCUAUGAUGUAAUUGAUCCUAUAUACGUAUAUGAGGAAUAGCAACGAUCUGAUUGUAACUUCAUACGUUGAUUAGUGCACAAAUAACCAAAGAAAUGUAUGAAUACCUGAAGAAAAAUG